This is a long non-coding RNA of Populus euphratica (Euphrates poplar), 102 nucleotides long. RefSeq lists it as uncharacterized. Lineage: Eukaryota; Viridiplantae; Streptophyta; Magnoliopsida; Malpighiales; Salicaceae. The record is from RefSeq and is a predicted model, not a curated record. The transcript is spliced from 3 exons.
UUGUUUAGUUGCAGAAAGGAAGAGGGAGAAAUAGGGAAGGAGAGGGUCAAUGAUUAAUUCAUAUAUUAACUAUUACCGAUGGUUUUAUUGAUAAAAUGUUUU